AUUGAACGCUGGCGGCAUGCUUUACACAUGCAAGUCGAACGGUAACAGGCCUUCGGGUGCUGACGAGUGGCGAACGGGUGAGUAAUGCAUCGGAACGUGCCCAGAGGUGGGGGAUAACGCAGCGAAAGCUGUGCUAAUACCGCAUGUGAUCUGAGGAUGAAAGCGGGGGACCAGGCAGCAAUGUUUGGCCUCGCGCCUUUGGAGCGGCCGAUGUCAGAUUAGGUAGUUGGUGGGGUAAAGGCCGACCAAGCCGACGAUCUGUAGCUGGUCUGAGAGGACGACCAGCAACACUGGGACUGAGACACGGCCCAGACUCCUACGGGAGGCAGCAGUGGGGAAUUUUGGACAAUGGGCGCAAGCCUGAUCCAGCAAUGCCGCGUGCGGGAAGAAGGCCUGCGGGUUGUAAACCGCUUUUGUACGGAACGAAAAGGCUCUGGCUAAUACCUGGGGCUGAUGACGGUACCGUAAGAAUAAGCACCGGCUAACUACGU
This 491-nucleotide ribosomal RNA is filed under the name uncultured bacterium. RNAcentral's name for it is "partial 16S ribosomal RNA". It matches the Rfam family "Bacterial small subunit ribosomal RNA", at positions 29 to 506 of the family's 1533-position model. The record is from RNAcentral.